Phyllostomus discolor (pale spear-nosed bat) is the source of this 82-nucleotide long non-coding RNA. RefSeq lists it as uncharacterized. Lineage: Eukaryota; Metazoa; Chordata; Mammalia; Chiroptera; Phyllostomidae. The transcript has 3 exons. The record is from RefSeq and is a predicted model, not a curated record.
UGACCCUCUCCUGCAUUCCAGGCCUGGGGAUGAAAGUACAGUUUCAAGGCUUCCUUUCCCAGGUAAUGGGGAUGAGAUACAG